RNAcentral lists this ribosomal RNA (421 nucleotides) under Oenococcus oeni. RNAcentral describes it as "bacterial LSU rRNA". It matches the Rfam family "Bacterial large subunit ribosomal RNA", at positions 394 to 816 of the family's 2925-position model. The record is from RNAcentral. Lineage: Bacteria; Bacillati; Bacillota; Bacilli; Lactobacillales; Lactobacillaceae.
CUCUAAUCAGGAUCCUGAGUACGGCCCAGCACGUGAAAUUGGGUCGGAAUCUGGGAGGACCAUCUCCCAAGGCUAAAUACUAACUAGUGACCGAUAGCGAACAAGUACCGUGAGGGAAAGGUGAAAAGAACCCCGGAAGGGGAGUGAAAUAGUUCUUGAAACCGUGUGCUUACAAGAAGUUCGAGGCCGUUAAUGGCUGAGAGCGUGCUUUUUGUAGAAUGAACCGGAGAGUUACGAUUGCGUGCAAGGUUAAGGUGCAAAGACUGGAGCCGUAGCGAAAGCGAGUCUUAAUAGGGCGAAUCAGUACGUAGUUGUAGACCCGAAACCGAGUGACCUAUCCAUGGUCAGGUUGAAGGUGGGGUAAUACCUACUGGAGGACCGAACAAGUGGGUGUUAAAAAACCCUUUGAUGAACUGUGGAU